UACAUAGGGUGCAAGCGUUGUCCGGAAUUAUUGGGCGUAAAGAGCGCGUAGGCGGUUUGGCGCGUCUGCUGUGAAAACUCGGGGCUUAACCCCGGGCCUGCAGUGGGUACGGGCAGACUAGAGUGCGGUAGGGGAGACUGGAAUUCCUGGUGUAGCGGUGAAAUGCGCAGAUAUCAGGAGGAACACCGGUGGCGAAGGCGGGUCUCUGGGCCGUAACUGACGCUGAGGAGCGAAAGCGUGGGGAGCGAACAGG
Molecule: ribosomal RNA, 253 nt
Filed under: uncultured bacterium
Lineage: Bacteria
Description: partial 16S ribosomal RNA
Rfam family: Bacterial small subunit ribosomal RNA
Source: RNAcentral